Non-coding RNA from Cinara cedri, 484 nucleotides. The record is from the annotation of a GenBank genome assembly. Lineage: Eukaryota; Metazoa; Arthropoda; Insecta; Hemiptera; Aphididae.
CCAACCCGUUGACGAGAAAUUUCACUUUUAAAUUCGAGCAGGGGAGAGCAGUGGAGCGUCAUUUUUGUAGAAGCACGACGCGUGACGGCGUUUUAACAGUGCUUCACUAAUCUCUCGCCACCCAAACUUAAAAGUGGAAUGACUCGUCAUUCCACAGGUUGAUGGAAAUUAAAAACACCAAAAAGUAUUUAAACUAAAACUCAAUAUAUUUAUGGAAUAUUUGGUUGCUAUAUUUUCAAAAUCAAAAGUGGGUAAGGGUUUCACCUCCGAAAAUAAAAGUGAAAACAAUAAGUAUGGACAUAAUGUUUUAUAAUAUAUAAUUCCAAAAAAUUUUUAAAUGGGUCAUUUUUUUUUAAAAAAAAUUAAAUAGUUUGUGAAAAAUUUGACUAAAAUUUGGAACAUUUUGUGGCCUGUAUAUUAUUAUUUUUCGUAUACACUUAUGGGUUUAUACAUGUACUCUUAAUUGUUUAAUGACAUGGUUAAU